Molecule: long non-coding RNA, 3864 nt
Organism: Halichondria panicea
Lineage: Eukaryota; Metazoa; Porifera; Demospongiae; Suberitida; Halichondriidae
Exons: 5
Source: RefSeq, a predicted model, not a curated record
ACUUCGUAGUCGUAGUCACAUUUAUUUUUGAUAUUCAUUAUAACCAUGCCUCUUGAAUUUCCUUCAGUACUUUCUCGUUUUGAUCCACUUUUUUAGUGAGGGAUCGUACUUGAUUUCUUUGAAGCCUUCUGUUACCGGGGCAUCAUCUUCAGAACAAGGCUUAGACCGACGCCUUUUACGUUUUCUACGAACCUGUGACGCCCAACAUCACCCAUUACUAGCGUCAGAAUCCAACCUAUCAAGAGGCUGCCUUGAAGUCGUGCUGCCCUACUAGGAGAACAUAAGAAAGAUGACUUUGAUGUUGAUGAUAUAUCCUUCUUUGAGGGUGAAACUGAUGAGACACCACCACCACCACUAGUGAACUUUGAUACAGAGGAAGAUGGACGAGGAUGGAUGGGUUUCCAGUAUAUCUGCUGCGGAGGAUAGAUCCUUAGAAUCGAUGCUUCAAAUGAGAUCGAAGUUUGGGAAGAAGAUGAAGCAGAGGAGUUCGAAGAUCUUUUCACAAUUGUCGAACCAUCUCAUGAAACACACUCGGUGGUACUUUGGGUUUGUUAUUAUGGUACUGCCUUUAUGGUACUGAAGCAUUACAUCCCAGACGUUGCCAUUUCUCUUCUAUUGUUCAGAGUUCUUUCCAAAACAGCACAGCACCUCAACUCUCUGUUAUUUCGAAACUUACUAUAUACAAACUCAUAUACAAACUCCAUCAGCUAGUUUCAUCUUACGAAAACUUUAAAAUAUGUUGCUUGUGAAAAAUGUUAUACCAUAUACAAACAUUCGGAGUGUGUCACAGUGGUUGGUAUAACGGAAAUGCCAAAAUUAUGUUGUCAUAGAAAUUGCCUAUUAAAGCGCGUUGAGUUUGGAAAUAGACAAAUACUUUAUCCUCUUAAGAUAUAUUGCUAUGCCCCACUUACGAGUAACCACUGGAGACACUCAAAUACUGGAGACACUCAAAUACACGUAAGCCCGGGGUCUACAAUGGUAUAUAUGAUGGGAGAAUAUGGAAUGAGUUCAAGACAUUCAACGGAAACCUUUUCUUACCGAACCUUAUACCUAUGGACUUAUGAUGAACAUAGAUUGGUUUAAACCAUCGUUGAAUACAGACAGCAUUGGUGCUAUUUAUCUAACAAUAAUGAACUUCCCGUGAUGUGCGUUUUAGACGAGAAAAUGUGUUAUUCAUUGGCCUCAUGCCAGGUCCCCGUGAGCCAAAGCAUGAUAUCAAUUCACAGCUAGUUGCUUCAGCUUUGGAAUGGUUGGAAUGGAGUACACAUUAGACUUUUGAACGACCUGUGCUUGUAAGGUGUGCAUUCUUGUAAGGUGUGCAUCACAUGUCGUCACGAAAGGUGUGCGGUUUCUUGGGGCACUCUGCUGAAUUAGGUUGCUCUGAAAAGGAAACAGAAAUUAUUCAGGUUUUGACAUGGUAUUCCGAAACAAAUGCUCAGCAUAGAAGCGAUGUAGAAUGUAUCAAAACACUACAACAGUUAAACGGCAACAAGAACUGGAGGGGUGUAGAUACUCCGUGCUCCUAGACCUUCCGUACUUUGAUCCUGUGCGGAUGACAAUAAUCGAUCCGAUGCAUAAUUUAUAUCUUGGCACUGCUAAGCAUAAUAAUAUUAAAGAAUGCUUGGAUGAAACAUGUUGACGCUAAUCUUGUGAAAAUACAAGGUCUUGUUGAUGACAUGUGCUUACCUGGUAGAAUUCCAUACAAAAUAGCGUUCACAGCAGAUCAAUUUAAAAGUUGGACAUGCUUUUUCUCUCUCAUUUGCCUCAAAGAUGUCCUACCAAUUGUGCUUUGUGUUAGCCUCUAGAAUUUAGAAUUCUAUGUCAGGUGAAUUUGACAGCUUCCGAAAUAGAUUUAGCCUACUCUUAAAAUUCUGUCACCAGGUAGAGCGUUUGUAUGGAUGUAAUUUUAUCACACCCCUUCAUUGUCAUCUAAAAGACUGCUGUACAUAAUUUCUGGCUGUUUACCUAUGACGCAUUUUCCGACCAAUCACCAUUCCAUUGAAAAUCAACUAAUGAAGAGAUUUUUGAGAGAGUUUAAUUUGACAUUGCCAUCACACUUGCCAUCAACACACAACAUACAACAUACAACAUCGAAGAAUUUGAUGAGUUGCUCAAAAACAAAUUUGAACCACAUCUGGAAGGUUCGCUCAAGACCACAUUACAUGGAAGGUAUAUAGAGCAAAUGGAUUUGUGUACUUUACAAGUACUCUUUCGAUUGCGUCUCAAUUUCGUCUGCCCUCUGUUUAUGUCCUCUUCUAUUUCACAGUUAACAACAGUAUACUCACAGCUAGCUUUAAAUGAUGAUUGUUUGAAUGUUACCUAUAGAUCCUUGAAUUCGCUUUAAUAGCUGCAAAAGGCCUAUUGUAUUCGCAAGAGAUAGAACAACAAUGGCACUUAUCCUGGAGUAUUUCAUUCUGCAUACCUUGAAUGAAGCGCGAGAACAUUUGUUUGCAGCCGUAAUCUGGCUAAAGGAACAUCAUGCUAAGCAUACUGCUUAUGGCCAUUAUAUGCUUAUGGCCAUUAUAUGCCAAUCAGUGAACUGUGAAGUCAAGUAUGAACUGCAAAGUGUGUGUGCUGUAGUCCCUGACUACAAUGUACGUAAUUUCUAGAGUGCAUGACAUACGUUCAGUGUUCAUGUGCGCGGCCGCGGCAUCAAGUUUAUUUUGUUGCCAAACCCUGGAUGCCUACGCGCUAGCAUGGCUAUAGCUUAAUUAAUGUAAAAGAUCAUUAAUUUUGACAUUUCAGGACUGCUGAAACCUAGCAGCCACUACACAUUUCCUCAUCUACAGUACUACAGUAAAUCUAAGGGACAUUUUAGGAACUCCUGAAACCUAGCAGCCACUACACAUUUCCUAUUGUAAAGUGAUAUUAAAGGGUCACUUGACAUUUCAGGUUGGCUGAAAGCUGGAAGCCACUACACAUUUCCCAUUUCCUGGCUGACUGAAAUAUGGACAGUCAACUAACAUUUACUUUAACUGAAAUUUCAAACCACAUGUCACUGCACAUGAAAUCUCGUUUUUGUACUACCAUGGAACAGUAGGAACAGUGGAACCGUGGAACCAUCUCUGGGCAGUUAAGGCCUGGGUCAGGCACUGAUAAGAUUAAUUUUAUUCAUUGCCUACAUUUUAUGUAGAUCAUGUAGAUCAUGUAGUGUUAAUGAGAUUCAUAAUGUUUAUUAAUGUUAUUCAUUGCACAUGACGUCAUAAGUUCAAUGUAUUUGCUUAGCUAGCUGCUAGAACUAUUAUAGAUUAUCUUUGGCAACAAAUACGGCGGACUUAAUCAAGUGGGAACAAUGGCGAUCAAAAACUGGCACUGAUUUAUCUGAUGUUAUGGACGGGAGAGAUGGACGGGAGAGAAGGACUGUCUCAGCCUUGUUUAGUUGGGGUUACACGUUUAAACGUUAAACGUGAAAAUAUGAUAACCCGCCCUCAUGAAAUCAUUAACAGAGCCAUUGGUUAAUGAAUUGAUGGCAGCUGCCUAUUCGUUGUGCAUUGCUUUGUGUGUCAUGUGAUUUGCCAGCUGGACGAAAUUGUAUUUAAGUCUUACAAUGGAUCCUUUCCUGGGACUCAGGUUUUGAUCGUGUUCACUAGAUUCCUCGAACAUAUGAACUAAGUGCUUCUAAAAUGCAAAAUGCUUUCCUGUUACACUAAAGCGGGUUAUCGAUACACUCGAUACACCCUUCUGUUAAAACUCCAUCCAUCAAGGACGCUUGUGAUUGUUGUGAUUGAUCUGAUGCAUGUUUUCGGUUUCAGUACCCUAUAUCUACAUAAUUAUUUGCAUAUUUGCAUGUAUGUCCUUUCAAUUUUGGUGCUUGUGAAAAUUCCUUGCAUUGACUAGCUGUUAGAGUAUAACUCAUAAAAAAAU